RNAcentral lists this non-coding RNA (773 nucleotides) under Polyptychus trilineatus. Lineage: Eukaryota; Metazoa; Arthropoda; Insecta; Lepidoptera; Sphingidae. The record is from RNAcentral.
AAUAAAUUUUUUAUGGUUUAUAAAAUUUAUUUUAAGUUUAUUUUACAUAUAAAUUUUAGUGUUAACUAUUAAUUAUUUAAAUAAUAUUUAAUAUUUAGGUAGUAAUUAAUAUUAAAAAUUUAAGAAAUUAAGAUUUAGUAAUAUAAAAAAUAAUAACUAAUUUUGUGCCAGCAGUUGCGGUUAUACAAAAAUUAUUAUAAAUUUUUUUAGUAAUUAAUGAAUAUUUAUAAAUUAUAAUUAAAAAUUAAAUUUAUAAGGUGAAAUUUUAAUUUUAUAAUAAAUUAUUUUAUAAUUAUGAUUUAAUAAAUUUUAUAAAAAACUAGGAUUAGAUACCCUAUUAUAAAAAUUUAAAUUAAUAAUACUUAAAUAGUAGGUAAUAAUUUAUUGAAACUUAAAUAAUUUGGCGGUAUUUUAGUUUAUUUAGAGGAAUCUGUUUAUUAAUUGAUAAUCCACGAAUAAAUUUACUUAAUUUAAUAUUUUGUAUAUCGUUGUUAUAAAAAUAUUUUUUUAUAAAAAUAAUAUUUUAAUUUUUUUUAAGAAGUUAAAUCAGAUCAAGAUGCAGAUUAUAAUUAAGAAUAUAAUGGAUUACAAUAAAUUUAUUUAAUUGGAUUUUAAUUUGGAAUAAUUAAUUGAAAUUGGAUUUAAAAGUAAUUUUAUUUAAAUUAUUAAAAUGAUUUAAUAUUAAAAUAUGUACAUAUUGCCCGUCGCUUUCAUUAAUAAAUUGAAAUAAGUCGUAACAAAGUAGAGGUACUGGAAAGUGUUUCUAGAAAGAU